RNAcentral lists this long non-coding RNA (1395 nucleotides) under Gossypium barbadense (sea-island cotton). RNAcentral describes it as "long non-coding RNA (GBAR_LNC001142)". Lineage: Eukaryota; Viridiplantae; Streptophyta; Magnoliopsida; Malvales; Malvaceae. The record is from RNAcentral.
UUAAUGGAAAAUAAAAUUUUAGUUAUAAAAAUUCAAUCAUAAGUGAAGUGACAGUUGAAGACAAAUAAAAGAAACAUGCGACAUACAAAAGAGUUAAGUAAAGGAGAGUGUAAUGGGCCAAAAUUGCCCGGACCCAUCAGAAACUAAAAUCAAAAUAAAUAAUAAUAACAGUCCAUUUCAUUAAAAGGACCAAGCAAAAUACAAGCCCAAACUUAAAACCUAGCCUAGAAAAAUAGCCCAAAACAUAAAACAACAAAAAAUCCUAGUAGCUUAGGGUGUCGCGCCUCCAUGUGCGCCCUUGGCACGCACGGUGCCCAAGGUUCAGCCUCUGUUUCACCGAAAUGACAGUCUACAGCCUCGUUGACCCCUUGUGCGCCUGCAAAAGAAAGCAAAAAAGGGAAACAAAGCAAGACAACAGAGCAAAAGGCGAAAACAGAGCAGAAACAAAGAAAGGAAACAACAAAGGCAUAGGCAAUAGAAAUAAUAUUAAAUCAAAUGUGUAUUCGGCUAUAUAGCCAGAGGAACAAAAAAUGAAAUUUUCACGAACACUUUCAAUAGCAAUACAAGAAUCAGAUUCAAAGUAAAAAAGGUGCAUUUUGUUUUCAUUUAUUUCUUUGUUUUUAGAAGUACAAAAAAAAGCAAUAAUAACAAUAAAAAUCCUACCUUGGCGCGUCACCUGUCGUUGAAUGGGUCUCCAGUAGCCUGAACUUCAUGAAACCCGUUCGAGUUCCGACGAAGGUCGGAGAAGCCACGAAAAUGAAGGCAUUUUUUCCAUGAUUUACAUCUUUCUCUCUUAAUACCGUUUUAAAUCCCCUAGAUCUAGUUUUCUUUUAGAUUUUUUUAAGGGGAAAAGGUUUGGAAAGGGCCUAAAAGGGAGCCGGAUCUGUGCGCCCUUAACCACCGUUCACGGCGGAGCCACGACGAGGCCACGGCGGUGAGCCAUUGAACCCCUUGUAGCCAAUCUCAAACCUUUUUCAGAGAGAAAUGGGGAAAGCAAAUUUUUUUUUAAGAGCAUGGAUUAAAUGAAUUUUUUUAAAAAAAAUUUAGAUUUAUAUGGCUUGAAACGGUAUUGUUUCUAUACCCUAAUUCUGGUACCAUGCCUGAGAUUCGACCCGAAACCCGCCUAGGAUCCGCGUGCUUUUGGACUGCGGUUCUAUUUUGGCCCUCAGUCCCUCCGCUUUUGAGGUGGUUAUUAAUGUGGUCCUUAUCUCGGUCUUUUUUUUAUUUUCUGAAUUCACCCCUGUAUUUUCUUUACUAUUUCAUUCUGGUCCCUGAUGAAAAUGCGCGUUUUGGGGGAUGGAUUUAUUACCCACCUGGUCCCCCAUCUCAUCCGCGCGUCACAAUUUGGGCUUAACAUUUUAUUUUCAUUCCAUUUUGUGCCUUUUAAUUCUGUUU